Molecule: unclassified non-coding RNA, 215 nt
Filed under: Hevea brasiliensis (rubber tree)
Lineage: Eukaryota; Viridiplantae; Streptophyta; Magnoliopsida; Malpighiales; Euphorbiaceae
Source: RNAcentral
CGGAGAUCGUUCGGCUCUUUGUCAAAGAAGGCGCGAAGGUCGUUAUCCUCGACUUGAAUGCCGAAGGUGCGCGGAAGGUUGCCGCGGAAGCCGGCGGCGGGAUCGGAGGUGACGUCACCACGCGCGCAGACAUUGAUGCAGCGGUGAAAGCAGCAGUUGACAAUUUCAAACGCCUCGAUGUUGUGGUCAACAAUGCCGGCUGGACUCAUCGCAAU